Molecule: ribosomal RNA, 524 nt
Filed under: uncultured Glomeromycotina
Lineage: Eukaryota; Fungi; Glomeromycota
Description: SSU rRNA
Rfam family: Eukaryotic small subunit ribosomal RNA
Source: RNAcentral
AGCAGCCGCGGUAAUUCCAGCUCCAAUAGCGUAUAUUAAAGUUGUUGCAGUUAAAAAGCUCGUAGUUGAAUUUCGGAAUUUGUCGGUUGGUCGGGCUUCACUGUCCGCACUGACCUGAUGGAUUCCUACCUUCUGAAUAACCAGCAUGCUAUUAAGUUAGUGCGUUGGGGAAGCAGAGCUAUUACCUUGAAAAAAUUAGAGUGCUUAAAGCAGGCUUGUGCUUAAAUAGAUUAGCAUGGAAUAAUAAAAUAGGACGGCAUGGUUCUAUUUUGUUGGUUUCUAGGAUCACCGUAAUGAUUAAUAGGGAUAGUUGGGGGCAUUAGUAUUCAAUUGUCAGAGGUGAAAUUCUUGGAUUUAUUGAAGACUAACUUCUGCGAAAGCAUUUGCCAAGGAUGUUUUCAUUAAUCAAGAACGAAAGUUAGGGGAUCGAAGACGAUCAGAUACCGUCGUAGUCUUAACCAUAAACUAUGCCGACUAGGGAUCGGACGAUGUUAAUUUUUUAAUGACUCGUUCGGCGCCUUACG